GCCUCAACACAACAAAACGGGAUUUUACCACCUACGUGUCGUCAACGCUAAAGGCAUGCGCACUACCCCCUUACUCCCCACCCCUGCUCCUAUCCAAUCCUUGAACACACAUAAAUCACACACAUUCACACUUUGAUUCAGAAGGCCCGACUGUUAUUAUUGAGUUUGGGGGCUUUUGGUGUAAAUCAAACGACUCUUGUUUCGUUGAUUCUGCGACUUUCUUUUCUUUGUUUUUUGGUUUGAGUCAAUCGAACUGUAUCGUCUCUUAUCAGAAUUCUAGAUAAUUUAAGAAUUUAAGAAUUACAAUUCUUAAAUUCUCUCUGUUGUCAACAUUUGCCGCGAAUCGCCGUGGCUCGAGCAACACCAGCAACCGCCGCCAGUUGCACCUCCGCCCCGGUGGUUCUCAGCUGUUGCUCCCCCAUUUUCUUCUUCUAUUUUGUUCAUUUUCUUUACUUAUUCUAUUUCAAUCCUAAUUCUAAUUCUUCCCUAACUAUUUCCCUAUUUCAGGAAUUGACCGAUCGUCGAUUCGAGGGUGAGAAGACAUAUCAGGUAUGUCAAAUUUGAAAUUUAUUGAAUGUGCGAGUGCUAGAGUUGUAUCUCUUAUCUUCAAUGCACAUUGGGAGGUUCUUUGUGGAGUAAGCACCUCUCUUUUCAGUUUUCUACUUGAUGAUUUUGGUGUUAUUGUGGAUAUGAUUUGAUUAGUUCGUAUUUUGUUUCAAUCUGAAAAGUUACAAGAUUAUAUGGGUGUUAUGUUUAUGGAGAUCAGUUACAUUGUUUUAGCUCGUAAGAAUAAGUUGAGCUGCAAAAUUCUUGAUCUAUAAGGGCAUUUACUUUAGGUGAUUUAUGUAAUUGACCCUGGUCAGAAGCAUUACGUGUGCGUGGUUGAUCUUCUUGGUCAUACUCUUUCAAUAGGUGAAGCUGAAUCCUUCACUUGCAGUUGCUUGGUUAAGCUUAGGUAACUGCAUAUGGAUGAAAGGUGAUCUAGUUUCAGCAAAGAAUCGUUUUAACUAUGCCAUUAUAAGGAUCUUUCUUCUGCUUCAUUCUCUUUCAAGUGUUUGAUGAGUAGAUAUCAGCAGCAUAAUUAUCGGUUUUUGUCAAGCGUUACAGCUGUUGGUGUCUCGGUUUCCCCCUCCCCCGAGACAGCCUCUGCUAAUAGAGAACAUUGUUGCUUCUUCUGGUCAUGCUAAUCCGAAUGUUUUGCGAGAACUCGAUGGCUGGCAAGAAUCAUCGGAAGCUGUUGAAGUUGAUGGUGAGAAUUCAAUGCUGAAAAAAACCGAAUCUUCCUCUUAUAAGUUUAUAACGUCUCUAAUGGUAAUAGAAGCCGACAAGUAAAUGAUGAUGACUCUUAUAUCCCUACGAAAGUUUGGAGCAUUUGCUACCUGGCACUCUUAUUGCUUCACCUACAAAUCCAGCUACGGGGCAUUAAUUUGCAUUCUCGUGGCUUCAUCAGAAGACGACAAUCCUCUAUUUCGUACAUCCUCUAUCUAUGCGCUCAAAUGAUAAGAUUUCAUUCCAUGUUUUUGCAGGAUGGAAGUUUGGAUGGAUGGAUGGAUUACUUUUGACUAAAAGCUGCUUCAGAGUACCAUUUUUUGUUGAAGAUUGUAAAUGACGGUUAAAUAUUUAUAUAAAAUAUACUCCCUUC
Salvia miltiorrhiza (redroot sage) is the source of this 1642-nucleotide long non-coding RNA. RefSeq lists it as uncharacterized. The transcript has 4 exons. Lineage: Eukaryota; Viridiplantae; Streptophyta; Magnoliopsida; Lamiales; Lamiaceae. The record is from RefSeq and is a predicted model, not a curated record.